Molecule: ribosomal RNA, 292 nt
Filed under: uncultured bacterium
Lineage: Bacteria
Description: partial 16S ribosomal RNA
Source: RNAcentral
GGACUACCCGGGUAUCUAAUCCUGUUCGCUCCCCACGCUUUCGCUCCUCAGCGUCAGUACAGGCCCAGAGAACCGCCUUCGCCACCGGUGUUCCUCCUGAUAUCUGCGCAUUUCACCGCUACACCAGGAAUUCCGUUCUCCCCUGCCUGCCUCCAGCCUGCCCGUAUCCACUGCAGGCCCGGGGUUGAGCCCCGGGGUUUCACAGCGGACGCAACAGGCCGCCUACGAGCUCUUUACGCCCAAUAAUUCCGGACAACGCUUGCGCCCUACGUAUUACCGCGGCGGCUGGCAC